RNAcentral lists this long non-coding RNA (579 nucleotides) under Bos taurus (domestic cattle). RNAcentral's name for it is "long non-coding RNA NONBTAT007476". Lineage: Eukaryota; Metazoa; Chordata; Mammalia; Artiodactyla; Bovidae. The record is from RNAcentral.
GCUGAUAAUUUAUGAUUUGUGGAAUGAGCUUUACAGUUAGAUGGCAAUUACUGUUUUUAUAAACUUGGCUAAUCUAACAAUUUUUCUAUUUGCAUUGACAUACUCAGGAAUUAAUGAAAAGAAUAGGAACUCUUUGUGAAGGGGAAUAAAAAGAAUUUUUCAGUAAUUGUGCUGAAGCAAAAGGCAUUAAGUUAAAUCUACAAUUAUUUUAAAUUAAAAGCUUAAAGGCUAAUAGUAAGGAAAGAUAAACCAAAUUUGAAGAAAGGUUAUAUAUUAGUACUAAGAGGCUCUUUAUUUGCUGUAUUUUAGCCAAUAAAUUCCAGAGUUAAGAUUGUUAUGCUUCAAAUGCAGAUGUUUAUAGGUAUCUAUGUAUGCGUAUAUACAGGUAUCUGUGUAUACAUACACACACUCCAGCUUAUUUCUGAUUUAGAAGUUAAAACAUCCAUUCUCUUCUAAUAGGGAAACACUGUAAUUGUUAAAAUAAGAUUACUUUAAAUGCAGAACACUUAUUUUCUUCCUGCUGUGUGAUAAUAAGUCCUUUGAUUAUCUGAUGCAUUUCAGAAUUUAAUACUUAAAUAC